Molecule: long non-coding RNA, 397 nt
Organism: Priapulus caudatus
Lineage: Eukaryota; Metazoa; Priapulida; Priapulimorpha; Priapulimorphida; Priapulidae
Exons: 2
Source: RefSeq, a predicted model, not a curated record
AGUGAGUUAAAAUUCAAUUCAAUUCAAUUUUUGUUUCAGGGAAAACCACCCAUACGAUGUCUGUGAAGUCAUAUCUACACCAAUUACAACUGGAAACCAUGCUUAUCUUGAUUGGAUUAGUGAAAUUGUGCCGGAGAAGUAAGAAAGAAGACGACAGUAGAGAACAUAGCUAUUGAAACUGAAACAGCCACCAUCGCACGGAGACCAGUUUUUAAUAGGGAUUGAAAUUUAUCACAGAUUAUAACUAUACCCUUUUUUUCUCAGAAUAGAUUCCUCGAUUAUCCAUAAACGAUAUCAUGAACAUAUUGUGCUGUACAGCCAAAUGCCAGUAGAAUAAAAUGGAGUAUAUUUUGCAGAAGUUGACCCCUUAAAUAAUAUCAGCUUUUAUAUUAAAACA